ACUUUUUCAACAAUUUUGUUUUUGACACAGAGAACUCUCUCUCGGUUAUUCUUCCUGAAAAACACUGAAAAGAAAAGCAAGUUUUCUUCUCACUCCUCUCUUCCUUUCUUCCCUCUCUCAAAUUCAAGCAAAGUCCACAACUUUUGCUUGAAUUCUCAAUCCCAAGAGAAUAUAGAAGGUUCUCUAGUAGUGGUGCCCAUUUUGGAAUUUCGGAUUGGAGUUUGAAAAGUUUAUGAUCUGGAUCGAGGGAUCCAAGAAGAAGGUAUUCUUCAAGGUUUUCAAGCAAGGUUUUUUUUUUAAAUGAGAGAAAUUAUUUUCUCUCUUUCGAUCUUGCCUCACGCACACGAAACGGAAAGUGAAGGAGGGGCGCGUCUCUACCCUAGCGUUGCUGGAGCUUUCAGUCGCCGUUGAAGUCGCCAUCUCCGUCUAGCCAUAGUUGCAUGAAGUCGCGCCGCCUGACGCUCCACAGACCCGUGCGCCACGUCUUUGUAGAGUCCCAGCCGCACGCCAUUCUAACCGUCCUUACUGUCAGUAUUGAUAGAGUAUACAUUUGUAACCGAAGAAAUCAUAAUCAAUAAGCACUAUAAUUACACUUAAUUUGAGUUUAAAAGUAUGUAUGAAAAUAAUUUUCAAGGAAAAGGAUUCCAGAAUACAUUAACUCU
This is a long non-coding RNA of Benincasa hispida (wax gourd), 662 nucleotides long. RefSeq lists it as uncharacterized. NCBI's taxonomy places the organism in Eukaryota, Viridiplantae, Streptophyta, Magnoliopsida, Cucurbitales, Cucurbitaceae. The record is from RefSeq and is a predicted model, not a curated record.